This 492-nucleotide ribosomal RNA is filed under the name uncultured bacterium. RNAcentral's name for it is "partial 16S ribosomal RNA". It matches the Rfam family "Bacterial small subunit ribosomal RNA", at positions 29 to 507 of the family's 1533-position model. The record is from RNAcentral.
AUUGAACGCUGGCGGCAUGCUUUACACAUGCAAGUCGAACGGUAACAGGCCUUCGGGUGCUGACGAGUGGCGAACGGGUGAGUAAUGCAUCGGAACGUACCCAGAGGUGGGGGAUAACGCAGCGAAAGCUGUGCUAAUACCGCAUGUGAUCUGAGGAUGAAAGCGGGGGACCGAGCAGCAAUGUUUGGCCUCGCGCCUUUGGAGCGGCCGAUGUCGGAUUAGCUAGUUGGUGGGGUAAAGGCCUACCAAGGCGACGAUCCGUAGCUGGUCUGAGAGGACGACCAGCCACACUGGGACUGAGACACGGCCCAGACUCCUACGGGAGGCAGCAGUGGGGAAUUUUGGACAAUGGGCGCAAGCCUGAUCCAGCAAUGCCGCGUGCGGGAAGAAGGCCUUCGGGUUGUAAAGCGCUUUUGGCAGGAACGAAACGGUGUCCGCUAAUACCGGGCGCUAAUGACGGUACCUGCAGAAUAAGCACCGGCUAACUACGUG